GACGAACGCUGGCGGCGUGCCUAAUACAUGCAAGUCGAACGCUGAAGGAGGAGCUUGCUUCUCCGGAUGAGUUGCGAACGGGUGAGUAACGCGUAGGUAACCUGCCUGGUAGCGGGGGAUAACUAUUGGAAACGAUAGCUAAUACCGCAUAAGAGUAGAUGUUGCAUGACAUUUGCUUAAAAGGUGCAAUUGCAUCACUACCAGAUGGACCUGCGUUGUAUUAGCUAGUUGGUGGGGUAACGGCUUACCAAGGCGACGAUACAUAGCCGACCUGAGAGGGGGAUCGGCCACACUGGGACUGAGACACGGCCCAGACUCCUACGGGAGGCAGCAGUAGGGAAUCUUCGGCAAUGGACGGAAGUCUGACCGAGCAACGCCGCGUGAGUGAAGAAGGUUUUCGGAUCGUAAAGCUCUGUUGUAAGAGAAGAACGAGUGUGAGAGUGGAAAGUUCACACUGUGACGGUAGCUUACCAGAAAGGGACGGCUAACUACGUG
This 495-nucleotide ribosomal RNA is filed under the name uncultured bacterium. Its description in RNAcentral is "partial 16S ribosomal RNA". It matches the Rfam family "Bacterial small subunit ribosomal RNA", at positions 28 to 507 of the family's 1533-position model. The record is from RNAcentral.